Non-coding RNA from Trypanosoma rangeli SC58, 70 nucleotides. Lineage: Eukaryota; Euglenozoa; Kinetoplastea; Trypanosomatida; Trypanosomatidae. The record is from Rfam.
CAGCACACACCAACCAGCCCCUUCCGUGCUGCGAUGUGCAUGCUGGUGGCCAAAGUGUGGUGCGAGAGGU